This 297-nucleotide ribosomal RNA is filed under the name Bradyrhizobium elkanii. RNAcentral describes it as "partial 23S ribosomal RNA". It matches the Rfam family "Bacterial large subunit ribosomal RNA", at positions 1 to 210 of the family's 2925-position model. The record is from RNAcentral. Lineage: Bacteria; Pseudomonadati; Pseudomonadota; Alphaproteobacteria; Hyphomicrobiales; Nitrobacteraceae.
AAUCAAGUGCCUUAAGGGUGUUCGGUGGAUGCCUUGGCGCUGAGAGGCGAUGAAGGACGUGCUACGCUGCGAUAAGCCGUGGGGAGCUGCGAAGAAGCUUUGAUCCGCGGAUUUCCGAAUGGGGAAACCCACCUUCGAUAGCCGGAACUCCAAGACCUUGUGUGUUGGGGUUCGAUCAGAAAUGCGAGAAAUCAAACCGCGAGGUUUUGGAUUUCCGGUUAUCAAGAGAAGGUAUGAGACCUCCGAAUAAAAUAGGAGGUUUUAAGCAAACCCAGGGAACUGAAACAUCUAAGUACC